UUUUUGUUGUUGUUGUUGUUGUUGUUGUUGUUGCUAUUUCUUUGGGCCGAUCCCAGGGCAUAUGGAGAUUCCCAGGCUAGGGGUUGAAUCGGAGCUGUAGCCACCGGCCUACGCCAGAGCCACAGCAACGCGGGAUCCGAGCCGCGUCUGCAACCUACACCACAGCUCACGGCAACGCCGGAUCGUUAACCCCUCACCUAUUAUCCUGCCUACCACAGUAACCCAGCAAAUGCUCAACUAUAGCACUAUAUGAUCCUACUAUCAAAAAAUGGAAUGGAGACAUAUGUUUUCCAUUUCUUUUUAUUUCUUUUACCAAUAGAAAAAGAAGGAAAGAGAUACUAGGCUGACUGGGAAAUACUAAAUUGGAUUUCACUAUCUGGCAGGAAAAUUUAGAUUGAACUUAAAAAAAUUUAUCUUGCAGAUCAUAAAAAUAAUCUUCACUUAUCCUCAGUCUAGGCAAUAAUAUUUAGCAGCAUAAUAGUAUGGUCCUGAAAUGUACUUACUUUCUGUUAAAAGUAAAAGUAUCUUUUUGUUAGCCUUCAUUUCUUCAUUCCUUGCCCUUCGAAUUUACAAAGACUUUUACCCUGUCUUGGAAUGUGCUUUGGCCUCUAAAUAUACAUAUACAAUAAAAACCCAAGCUAUUUGAAUGAAAAAUGUUAGUAAUUCAUCUUAAGUGUUAAGCAAGGACUACACUUUUCACAGGUUUUACUGUAUUUUAGAAGAGCUAGUUUUCCCAACUAAUUUUUUCAGCAGUAGAAAUACCUGAGGGCAAAACAUUUUAAGCCAUGAGUAGGGAAUGCUUUCGUAUCUACUUAUUAUAGCUCAACUUCCUCUCUUUCCCCGUUUCCUACAAUUUCCAGGUUGUAACUUAAAACAACCCCCACUUCCAUUGCAAGAAGGUGAACAGGAAGAAUUGCUAGCCAUAAAUAAUAACUCACAAGUUGCCAAAUAAAGGAGCGAUGUCUCUAAUACAAAGUAAAACUGUAAACUAAAUUUAUGAGAAAAGCAACAAAAAAUAAGGAAUUUAUCCUAUAGUAAUAUAUGGUCAAAAAGAUGUGAAUGCAAUAAGGUUCACUUCAUUAUUGUUUGAAAUAACAAAGCAUAGACCAACUCAAAUAUUUGCUACUAGAAAAUGUGCAAAUAAUGGACUAUCCAUUAUAGAAUACCAAACAACUACAACAACAAUAAUAAGAGGCUGAGAUAACUUCAAUAUGGAUUAGUAUGGACCAAUAUCUAAGGUAAAUUACCAAGUGAAAAAAAACAUACAGAAUAUGAGUAUAUAGUAAAUUUCUGUAUGUACAAAAGGAAACAUAGAUCUCUACACACAUACAUGCUUCUCUAGUAUAUAUAUAUGAAGAAUACACAGUAAUCACUAAUACUAAUUAAUAUUCUGGUUGGGAUUAGGGGAAAAAUGCACUUAAGGGUAGAAAUCUUAUUUACGAUACUCUUUUUUUAUAUAUGUACUAUUUAAUUAUUUUUUAAAGAACACAGCUUAAUAUUUGGAACAGUAGAAUAAAGAACUCCCAAAAUAGCUUCUGCAUGAAAGCGAUGAUAACACUGGCAAAAACUGUCAAAUUGUCUCUUUUAAAACUCUGGAAAUUAACUAAAGGCUUACAACAAUCCAAGAAUUGUUUAUUUAAGAUAAAUGGUGGAAUUUUGGUAAGAAGAGCAAAUCUUAUGGCAUUUUAUUUUUCCUUAAUCCCAUUCCCCUCUCUGGUUCUGGAUUAGCCUUGAAAACCAAGAGCCACACAACUGUGAUAGCUACAUAAACUAGCAGCCUACCAGCUACAUGAGGGAUUAGGACAGACAGAGUUUCCCCAAAAUGUCCAUCUCAAGAGAACUGUCACUAUUUGACUUACCUUACCUUGAACUAUGAAAAUAGUUCCAUUUUCAGAUUACUUCAUUAGACUCUGUGAAAACACU
RNAcentral lists this long non-coding RNA (1923 nucleotides) under Sus scrofa (pig). Its description in RNAcentral is "lncRNA (ENSSSCG00000057249.1, ENSSSCG00130031191.1, ENSSSCG00180038377.1)". Lineage: Eukaryota; Metazoa; Chordata; Mammalia; Artiodactyla; Suidae. The record is from RNAcentral.